Molecule: ribosomal RNA, 645 nt
Filed under: uncultured bacterium
Lineage: Bacteria
Description: bacterial SSU rRNA
Rfam family: Bacterial small subunit ribosomal RNA
Source: RNAcentral
CUUGCUUCUCUUGAGAGCGGCGGACGGGUGAGUAAUGCCUAGGAAUCUGCCUGGUAGUGGGGGAUAACGUCCGGAAACGGACGCUAAUACCGCAUACGUCCUACGGGAGAAAGCAGGGGACCUUCGGGCCUUGCGCUAUCAGAUGAGCCUAGGUCGGAUUAGCUAGUUGGUGGGGUAAUGGCUCACCAAGGCGACGAUCCGUAACUGGUCUGAGAGGAUGAUCAGUCACACUGGAACUGAGACACGGUCCAGACUCCUACGGGAGGCAGCAGUGGGGAAUAUUGGACAAUGGGCGAAAGCCUGAUCCAGCCAUGCCGCGUGUGUGAAGAAGGUCUUCGGAUUGUAAAGCACUUUAAGUUGGGAGGAAGGGCAGUAAAUUAAUACUUUGCUGUUUUGACGUUACCGACAGAAUAAGCACCGGCUAACUCUGUGCCAGCAGCCGCGGUAAUACAGAGGGUGCAAGCGUUAAUCGGAAUUACUGGGCGUAAAGCGCGCGUAGGUGGUUCGUUAAGUUGGAUGUGAAAUCCCCGGGCUCAACCUGGGGAACUGCAUUCAAAACUGACGAGCUAGAGUAUGGUAGAGGGUGGUGGAAUUUCCUGUGUAGCGGUGAAAUGCGUAGAUAUAGGAAGGAACACCAGUGGCGAA